GCCAGGGUGGCGUAGUGUUUUGAGUGCUGGACUACAACUCUGGAGAACAGGGUUCGAUUUCUGGCUUGGCC
Molecule: non-coding RNA, 71 nt
Organism: Phrynosoma platyrhinos (Desert horned lizard)
Lineage: Eukaryota; Metazoa; Chordata; Lepidosauria; Squamata; Phrynosomatidae
Source: the annotation of a GenBank genome assembly